Long non-coding RNA from Mytilus trossulus (common blue mussel), 845 nucleotides. RefSeq lists it as uncharacterized. The transcript is spliced from 3 exons. Lineage: Eukaryota; Metazoa; Mollusca; Bivalvia; Mytilida; Mytilidae. The record is from RefSeq and is a predicted model, not a curated record.
UCCAUACAGUCUUCAAUUAACAGACAUCUGAAUGAAAAUUCUGAGACUGAUGUGAACAUUUUAACCGAUAAAGACUUUCAGCACUCAAGGUACGUUCUGUCAGCUAAAAAGAAAGAUCUAAAGAGCAAAGGUUUUGGGAACAGAAAAUGAAAGGCAGAUGCUUUCACACAAGAGGAAAUUGAUCAUCUCUAUGACAGAAAUUUGCUUGGAACAAGUAAUCCAGAUGCUUUGAUUAAUACAGUGUGGCUAAAUAAUUCAAUGCAUUUUGGCAUGAGAAGCCGCCAAGAACAUCAAGAUAUGAUGUUUGGUGAUAUUGAGAUGAAAGCAACAUAAGGAGGAGUCCAGUAUCUUGAAUUUACUGCGCGCCAAACAAAAACAAGAAAGGGAGAGGGAAGUGCAAGGCCAUUUGCUCCAAAAAUGUUUGCAAUUGCAGAUAAUCCAAGAUGUCCUGUGAAAACAUUCAAGACUUAUAUUCAAAGAAGGCCUACUGAAUCAUUAAAGCCAGACAGUAAAUUUUAUUUGUCAAUUCUUCCUCGUUAUCACAACAAGGGUCAUGAUGAUUUUGACACUGAAAACACAAAUAUAUGGUACAGUAUGCAGCCAAUGGGCAAGAAUAAACUAGGUGAAUUAGUCAAAGUUUUGUCAUAGAAAGGAGGAUUAACUGGUAGAAAAGUUAAUCAUUCAGCUAGAAAAACAACAGUGACAUCAUUGCUGCACUCCCAUGUAGAGGCAACAACAGUGAUGCAGUUAACUGGACACAAAAAUGUAGCAUCUAUAAAUGAUUACAGUUCUGCAUCUUUAGAUCAACAAAUUAAAAUGUCUAACAUAUUGUCAGAUAUUGGAUC